Molecule: ribosomal RNA, 481 nt
Filed under: uncultured bacterium
Lineage: Bacteria
Description: bacterial SSU rRNA
Rfam family: Bacterial small subunit ribosomal RNA
Source: RNAcentral
UGACAGUACUCCUACGGGGAGGCAGCAGUGGGGGGAAUAUUGCACAAUGGGCGCAAGCCUGAUGCAGCCAUGCCGCGUGUGUGAAGAAGGACCUUCGGGUUGUUAAAGCACUUUCAGUCGUGAGGAAGGUAGUGUAGUUAAUAGCUGCAUUAUUUGACGUUAGCGACAGAAGAAGCACCGGCUAACUCCGUGCCAGCAGCCGCGGUAAUACGGAGGGUGCGAGCGUUAAUCGGAAUUACUGGGCGUAAAGCGCAUGCAGGUGGUUUGUUAAGUCAGAUGUGAAAGCCCGGGGCGUCAACCUCGGAAUAGCAUUUGAAACUGGCAGACUAGAGUACUGUAGAGGGGGGUAGGAAUUUCAGGUGUAGCGGUGAAAUGCGUAGAGAUCUGAAGGAAUACCGGUGGCGAAGGCGGCCCCCUCGGACAGAUACUGACACUCAGAUGCGAAAGCGUGGGGAGCAAACAGGAUUAGAUACCCUGGUAG